Molecule: transfer RNA, 84 nt
Filed under: Spirochaetales bacterium
Lineage: Bacteria; Pseudomonadati; Spirochaetota; Spirochaetia; Spirochaetales
Description: tRNA-Leu
Rfam family: tRNA
About the family: Transfer RNA (tRNA) molecules are approximately 80 nucleotides in length.
Source: RNAcentral
GCCCAGAUGGCGGAAUUGGUAGACGCGCUUGGUUCAGGUCCAAGUUCCAGCAGUGGUGUGUGAGUUCGAGUCUCGUUCUGGGCA